RNAcentral lists this ribosomal RNA (447 nucleotides) under Yersinia pestis. Its description in RNAcentral is "partial 23S ribosomal RNA". It matches the Rfam family "Bacterial large subunit ribosomal RNA", at positions 1016 to 1469 of the family's 2925-position model. The record is from RNAcentral. Lineage: Bacteria; Pseudomonadati; Pseudomonadota; Gammaproteobacteria; Enterobacterales; Yersiniaceae.
AGGGAAACAACCCAGACCGUCAGCUAAGGUCCCAAAGUUAUGGUUAAGUGGGAAACGAUGUGGGAAGGCUUAGACAGCUAGGAGGUUGGCUUAGAAGCAGCCACCCUUUAAAGAAAGCGUAAUAGCUCACUAGUCGAGUCGGCCUGCGCGGAAGAUGUAACGGGGCUCAAACCAUACACCGAAGCUACGGGUAUCACGUAAGUGAUGCGGUAGAGGAGCGUUCUGUAAGCCUGUGAAGGUGAGUUGAGAAGCUUGCUGGAGGUAUCAGAAGUGCGAAUGCUGACAUGAGUAACGAUAAUGGGUGUGAAAAACACCCACGCCGAAAGACCAAGGUUUCCUGCGCAACGUUAAUCGACGCAGGGUUAGUCGGUCCCUAAGGCGAGGCUGAAAAGCGUAGUCGAUGGAAAACAGGUUAAUAUUCCUGUACUUCUGGUUAUUGCGAUGGAG